UUGUUUGGAGAGUUUGAUCCUGGCUCAGGACGAACGCUGGCGGCGUGCUUAACACAUGCAAGUCGAACGGAAAGGCCCCUUCGGGGGUACUCGAGUGGCGAACGGGUGAGUAACACGUGGGUGAUCUGCCCUGCACUUUGGGAUAAGCCUGGGAAACUGGGUCUAAUACCGAAUAGGACCGCAUGCUUCAUGGUGUGUGGUG
Molecule: ribosomal RNA, 202 nt
Filed under: Mycobacterium arupense
Lineage: Bacteria; Bacillati; Actinomycetota; Actinomycetes; Mycobacteriales; Mycobacteriaceae
Description: Mycolicibacter arupensis partial 16S ribosomal RNA
Rfam family: Bacterial small subunit ribosomal RNA
Source: RNAcentral